This 325-nucleotide ribosomal RNA is filed under the name uncultured eukaryote. RNAcentral's name for it is "partial 18S ribosomal RNA". It matches the Rfam family "Eukaryotic small subunit ribosomal RNA", at positions 1470 to 1796 of the family's 1831-position model. The record is from RNAcentral.
CCCUUAGAUGUUCUGGGCCGCACGCGCGCUACACUGAUGCAUUCAACGAGUUUCUUCCUGGUCCGAGAGGAAUGGGUAACCUUUUGAAAGUGCAUCGUGAUAGGGAUAGACUAUUGCAAUUAUUGGUCUUCAACGAGGAAUUCCUAGUAGACGUAGUUCAUCAGACUGCAUCGAUUACGUCCCUGCCCUUUGUACACACCGCCCGUCGCUCCUACCGAUUGAAUGCUCAGGUGAAUAAUUCGGACUGCAGCAAUGUUCGGAUCCCGAACGUUGCAGCGGAAAGUUUAGUGAACCUUAUCACUUAGAGGAAGGAGAAGUCGUAACA